GUGCCCGUACAUGUUUAAAGGUGAACUGUCGAUUUUAUAACGAAAAAUGCAUUUGUAUAAAUAUGUAUAUUCUAAAACAAGUGGAAUCAUCAAGAGCUAUGGCAAAAAAUAUUGCGAUACUAAAAAACGAUGUUUUUGUUUUCCGUAAACCGCCCGGGUAUUUCCGCCACCUAUUUUGGUUGUGACGUCACCGGCACUCAACGCGCAUGACUCGGAUACACGUCCAUUGUUAUUACGAAUCGAAGCGUGAACACUUCGCGCUAAAUGUCAAAUUUGACACUCACGUUAGCAAAAUACAAUUCUUUUACACAAGUUUUAUUGAAAUCGUGUGCUUUCUCUGUAUUUUUUGCAUGACAAUCGUUAUUCGAUAUGGUUCAGUGUGUUGCUUUCGGGUGCAAAGAACGUGAGGAAAAUGGAAAGAAGGUUUUUUUUCCGUUUUGCGAAGGAUGAUGUUACUUGUAAGAAAUGGAUAAAGGCUGUCAAUUCCAGGAGAGUAAUCGAUGGGAGACUGGUUGAUUUCAAACCGAGUAAGGCAUCUAGAUUGUGCUUGAAACAUUUUGACGACAGUUGUUUUUUUUUCAUCCUCCAAGUGUUAUGGCUAGUGUUGGAAUGGAGUUAAAGCUCAAGCUCAAAGCUGGUGCAAUUCCAACGAUAUUUCCGGAAACAGAGGCAUACAAAGCUUCAAAGAAAGCUCCUCUAAAUCCCAACGACCUUGGACUAGGGAAGCACAACCGAGCGAAGUAUGGCGCCUAUUCUGAAAGGAACCGGACCCAUAUUCAUCAUGUGUGGAAGAGCCAGAUGUCUGUGAAGAAAUGUCUUGUGAACAGUCGCCUGUUCGGAUCAGUUAUCCUGAAUCACAUUUUGAUAAUGUGUAUUCGCAGUCAUCACAGACAUCUGAGACGGUUGUAUUUCGGCCAACAGAACAUAAGGGAUUCACUGUCAAACCACAGGGAAAGGACUCUCCUAUCCUAAGUACAAGGCUGGACACCAUGUGGUUAAAGCAGUUAAAGAGAAUUGCACUUAUGACUAUGUUGAUGAACUAAUGGCAGAGCUGCUUAGGAUGAAAGAGGAGUACAAGAGCGAUGCCAAUGCAAGGGCUGCCUCUGGCAACAUUCUGUUUUCACCGCCGUCCGUCUUCAUCUGCAAACAGAAUCCUGAAGUCUGAGGCUGUGCAGAACCAUCGUUCGCGAUUUAAUUAGCGAACAGGGAUGGAAAUUAGUGGUUGCCCGUUUUGUUGUAUAGUUAUCUAUUACUUUUAAAGAAAGUAUUGGUUACACAUGACACUACAUGUACCUAGUACUGGGCGCGUUGAGGCUUACGAUGGGAAACCAAAAAACUAUAGAUGGUUGUCCAUGUGGGCAACCAACUGUAAAACGUUAGUUUCCAUCCCUGGCGAAGCAAAAUCAAAUGUAUGAGUCGGACGGAAAUCUCUGGCUGCCACAGCGCAUGACGGUAGAGGUCGUCGAUCCUUCUUGCUCUGACGGUGCCAAAUCCAACGAGCCAGUCUUCUAUAGGCAAUGUAUCUGUAUACUCUGAAGUUAUAAAUGUAUAAGGAAACCAUUAUGAUAAAUAUUAGUAUGUUUAGUAAAACAAAGGUACUUUUCAACUUGACAAUUACACAAGCCAUGCUGUGGCAGAUUCUUACUUAAGUUUACAGUUUAACAAACUUAUUCAGCUUGAAUAUAAUAUUAUAUAAUAUAUAUUUUACUGAAAAUAUGUCAGAAAUCAGAUUUUGUAAGCAACUUCACAUCAUGUUGUAGCAGGUUGUUAUUCUAGUGUACUUUUUAAAAAAUUAAACAGCUUGUAUUUAUAUUUUUAUUUCAAAUGUUGAAAAAUAAUAAGGAACUGGCAUUUGUAAGAAACCAAAAAUCAUUGUGUAGCAAAUUGAUACUUCAUUUUACAAUUAGAUAACCCAGUCAUCUUGUAUACACGCGUAUUUUAAUGUUGAUUAAAAUUGUUGUCUUUUUUAUGUUAUUUAUCCACCGCCAGAGGCGGAGGGAUAUUGUUUUGGCGUUGUCCGUCCGUCCGGCUGUCCGUCCGUCCGUCCUGCACUUUUGUGUCCGGAGCCAUAUCUUGGAAGUGCUUUGGCGGAUUUCAUUGAAACUUGGUAUGAGUAUAUAUAUGCAUAAGAGGAUGAUGCACGCCAAAUGGCAUUGUACACCAUCUGUUAAAAACAGAGUUAUGGCCCUUUGUAUCUUGAAAAAAUGCUUUUUACUUUAGGAACUUUUGUGUCCGGAGCCAUAUCUUGGAAGUGCUUUGGCGGAUUUUAUUGAAACUUGGUAUGAGUAUAUAUAUGCAUAAGAGGAUGAUGCACGCCAAAUGGCAUUGUAUACCAUCUGUUAAAAACAGAGUUAUGGCUCUUUGUAUCUUGAAAAAAUGCUUUUUACUGUAUGCACUUUUGUGUCCUGAGCCAUAUCUUGGAAGUGCUUUGGCAGAUUUCAUUGAAACUUGGUACGAGUAUAUAUCCCCCGCCAGAGGCGGAGGGAUAUUGUUUGGCGUUGUCCGGCUGUCCGUCCGGCUGCCCGUCUGUCCGUUACUUUUGUGUCCGGAGCCAUAUCUUGGAAGUGCUUUUGCGGAUUUCAUUGAAACUUGGUAUGAGUACAUAUAUUGAUAAUAGGUUAAUGCACGCCAAAUGGCAUUGUACACCAUCUGAUAAUAACAGAGUUAUGGCCCUUUGUAUCUUCAAAAAAAUGCUUUUUUAGUGUCAAAUAUAACACUUUUGUGUCCAGAAGUAUAUAGGCGGGGGAUAUCAAUUCAACGAAUUUGCUUGUUUUAUUAUUUGUAUCAAAACAUAUUUACAGUAUGAAAUACAAAUGACAAGUUCACACAAAA
Long non-coding RNA from Dreissena polymorpha, 2832 nucleotides. RefSeq lists it as uncharacterized. The record is from RefSeq and is a predicted model, not a curated record. NCBI's taxonomy places the organism in Eukaryota, Metazoa, Mollusca, Bivalvia, Myida, Dreissenidae. The transcript has 4 exons.